CAAACUCCUACGGGAGGCAGCAGUGAGGAAUAUUGGUCAAUGGUCGGCAGACUGAACCAGCCAAGUCGCGUGAGGGAAGACGGCCCUACGGGUUGUAAACCUCUUUUGUCGGAGAGUAAAGUACGCUACGUGUAGUGUAUUGCAAGUAUCCGAAGAAAAAGCAUCGGCUAACUCCGUGCCAGCAGCCGCGGUAAUACGGAGGAUGCAAGCGUUAUCCGGAUUUAUUGGGUUUAAAGGGUGCGUAGGCGGCACGCCAAGUCAGCGGUGAAAGUUUCCGGCUCAACCCGGACUGUGCCGUUGAAACUGGCAGUCUAGAGUGCACAAGAGGCAGGCGGAAUGCGUGGUGUAGCGGUGAAAUGCAUAGAUAUCACGCAGAACCCCGAUUGCGAAGGCAGCCUGCUAGGGUGCGACAGACGCUGAGGCACGAAAGCGUGGGUAUCGAACAGGAUUAGAUACCCUGGUAGUCCACGCAGUAAACGAUGAACACUAGCUGUUUGCGAUACAGUGUAAGCGGCACAGCGAAAGCGUUAAGUAUUCCACCUGGGGAGUACGCCGGCAACGGUGAAACUCAAAGGAAUUGACGGGGGCCCGCACAAGCGGAGGAACAUGUGGUUUAAUUCGAUGAUACGCGAGGAACCUUACCCGGGCUCAAACGCAGGGGGAAUGCCGGUGAAAGUCGGCAGCUAGUAAUAGUCACCUGCGAGGUGCUGCAUGGUUGUCGUCAGCUCGUGCCGUGAGGUGUCGGCUUAAGUGCCAUAACGAGCGCAACCCCUAUCGACAGUUACUAACGGGUCAAGCCGAGGACUCUGUCGAGACUGCCGGCGCAAGCCGCGAGGAAGGUGGGGAUGACGUCAAAUCAGCACGGCCCUUACGUCCGGGGCGACACACGUGUUACAAUGGCAGGUACAGAAGGCAGCCAGUCAGCAAUGACGCGCGAAUCCCGAAAACCUGUCUCAGUUCGGAUUGGAGUCUGCAACCCGACUCCAUGAAGCUG
This 994-nucleotide ribosomal RNA is filed under the name human gut metagenome. Its description in RNAcentral is "bacterial SSU rRNA". It matches the Rfam family "Bacterial small subunit ribosomal RNA", at positions 332 to 1328 of the family's 1533-position model. The record is from RNAcentral.